RNAcentral lists this ribosomal RNA (394 nucleotides) under Smicronyx sordidus (grey sunflower seed weevil). RNAcentral describes it as "partial 16S ribosomal RNA". The record is from RNAcentral. Lineage: Eukaryota; Metazoa; Arthropoda; Insecta; Coleoptera; Curculionidae.
AAGUUUUAAAUGGCCGCAGUAUUUUGACUGUGCAAAGGUAGCAUAAUCAUUAGUUUCUUAAUUAGAAGCUUGUAUGAAAGGUUGGAUGAGAAAGUUACUGUCUCUAUUUAAAUUUAUUAGAAUUUUAUAUUUAAGUAAAAAAGCUUAAAUAUAUAUAGAAGACGAGAAGACCCUAUAGAGUUUUAUAUUAUUGUUAUUUAUAUUUUUUAGUAUUAUAAUUAUAUAAUUAAUUAUAUAUUUGAUUGGGGUGAUUUAAAAAUUUAUUAAACUUUUUUUGUAUUAUUUCAUUAAUUUAUGAAUAAUUGAUCCUUAAUUUAAAAGAUUAAAAGAAUAAAUUACCUUAGGGAUAACAGCGUAAUUUUUUUUAAGAGUUCUAAUCAAAAAAAAAGUUUGC